GAAGAACUGCUCCUCCUUUGUGAUGGCUGUGACAAGGGCCAUCAUACGUACUGCCAUAGACCUAAGAUUACAGCUAUACCAGAUGGGUACUGGUUUUGUCCAGCUUGCAUUGCUAGGCAAGUUGUCAAACUCUAAAAAUCAAAAAACUUCAUGUCAAAGGAUAAAAGACUAAUGAGUCAGAGAAAGGCAAGAAAGUAACAGGGGACACUGAAGAUGAAGACUCCCCAUGUGCAAGUAGUUCACUGAAAAGGGGCAGCAAAGACCUGAGAGAAAGAAAAAUGGAGGAAAACACUUCUGGUGCUGGAGGAAAACAAAAGCUUUACUUCUGUAAAGAAACUGAAACAAGAUGACUCUAAGGACCUGACUCUUUGCAGUACGAUCCUUACUAAAAUGGAAACUUGUCUCAGCAAAGACAUGAGAAAAAGAAAAAUGGAGGAAAACACUUCCUGUGACUUACCAAAACAAGAAAGUUUUUCUUCUAAGAAACUGAAACACGAUGACUCUAAGGACCUGACUCUUUGCAGUAUGAUCCUUACUGAAAUGGAAACUCAUGAAGAUGCAUGGCCUUUUUUACUUCCUGUAAACUUGAAACUUGUUCCUGGUUAUAAGAAAGUUAUUAAGAAGCCUAUGGAUUUUUCCACAAUUAGAGAGAAAUU
Long non-coding RNA from Manis pentadactyla (Chinese pangolin), 656 nucleotides. RefSeq lists it as uncharacterized. NCBI's taxonomy places the organism in Eukaryota, Metazoa, Chordata, Mammalia, Pholidota, Manidae. The transcript is spliced from 4 exons. The record is from RefSeq and is a predicted model, not a curated record.